Actinia tenebrosa (Australian red waratah sea anemone) is the source of this 365-nucleotide long non-coding RNA. RefSeq lists it as uncharacterized. NCBI's taxonomy places the organism in Eukaryota, Metazoa, Cnidaria, Anthozoa, Actiniaria, Actiniidae. The record is from RefSeq and is a predicted model, not a curated record.
AUUACUGGUCGUCAAUUCUGUUGUCAACAACGUGUUACAGCGACCGAGAGCCCUUGAAGUGGAAGUUUUGGAACUUCUUUGAAGCAUCGUCCGCCAUUUUUCAAGCAAACGUUCCGGCAAAACAAGUGUGCAAGAAACGGAAAUGACGUCAAUUGAAGAAGUAUUUAGAUCCAGGAUGUCCCUAGUCCUAGUACUGGCCCUCAAUUCACAAUUGCGGUUAUUUGAAGUUUUCCUUAGGCCGUAAAUGAGACCUGUUAAUGUUGUAGUGUUGGAUUUAUUAUAAGUUUGAGCGUUCGCUGUCUACGACCUCAACAGCCCGAUGAAAUAUUCAUACAGAGCAGAAAAAAUAAAGUAUGUUAAGAUCG